GACGAACGCUGGCGGCGUGCCUAACACAUGCAAGUCGAACGAAGCAUUUAAGUGAAUCCCUUCGGGGUGAAGCUUUUAUGACUUAGUGGCGGACGGGUGAGUAACGCGUGAGUAACCUGCCUUUCAGAGGGGGAUAACAGUUGGAAACGUCUGCUAAUACCGCAUAAUGUUAUUUGGGGGCAUCCCUGAAUAACCAAAGCUUUAUGUGCUGAAAGAUGGUCUCGCGUCUGAUUAGCUAGAUGGCGGGGUAACGGCCCACCAUGGCGACGAUCAGUAGCCGGUCUGAGAGGAUGAACGGCCACCAUUGGGACUGAGAUACGGCCCAG
Molecule: ribosomal RNA, 326 nt
Filed under: uncultured bacterium
Lineage: Bacteria
Description: bacterial SSU rRNA
Rfam family: Bacterial small subunit ribosomal RNA
Source: RNAcentral